GGGACAACAGACGGAAACGACUGCUAAUACCGAAUAAGUUCCAAGAGCCGCAUGGCCCAUGGAAGAAAAGGUGGCCUCUACCUGUAAGCUAUCGCCUGAAGAGGGGUUUGCGUCUGAUUAGCUGGUUGGAGGGGUAACGGCCCACCAAGGCGACGAUCAGUAGCCGGUCUGAGAGGAUGAACGGCCACACUGGAACUGAGACACGGUCCAGACUCCUACGGGAGGCAGCAGUGGGGAAUCUUCCGCAAUGGGCGAAAGCCUGACGGAGCAACGCCGCGUGAGUGAUGACGGCCUUCGGGUUGUAAAACUCUGUGAUCCGGGACGAAAAGGCAGAGUGCGAAGAACAAACUGCAUUGACGGUACCGGAAAAGCAAGCCACGGCUAACUACGUGCCAGCAGCCGCGGUAAUACGUAGGUGGCAAGCGUUGUCCGGAAUUAUUGGGCGUAAAGCGCGCGCAGGCGGCUUCCCAAGUCCCUCUUAAAAGUGCGGGGCUUAACCCCGUGAUGGGAAGGAAACUGGGAAGCUGGAGUAUCGGAGAGGAAAGUGGAAUUCCUAGUGUAGCGGUGAAAUGCGUAGAGAUUAGGAAGAACACCGGUGGCGAAGGCGACUUUCUGGACGAAAACUGACGCUGAGGCGCGAAAGCGUGGGGAGCAAACAGGAUUAGAUACCCUGGUAGUCCACGCCGUAAACGAUCCAUAAUGGGUGUAGGAGGUAUCGACCCCUCCUGUGCCGGAG
This 736-nucleotide ribosomal RNA is filed under the name uncultured bacterium. RNAcentral's name for it is "bacterial SSU rRNA". It matches the Rfam family "Bacterial small subunit ribosomal RNA", at positions 140 to 851 of the family's 1533-position model. The record is from RNAcentral.